AAAAAACCUUAGACUAAAACGCUAUGGGUAGAUAGGAGCAACCGUAUAUUUCGAACCCCCACACACAGACACUGACAGUCCUUCCCUUACUCUUUUCUCUUGCCUUCCCUCGUUUCUCUUCCGCCGUGUCUCACACACGCCGCCGCCGCGUCUCACACAGUCCGCCGCCGCCGCCGCUGCCGCCACCCAUCUCCUAUUCUUGUGUUAGAUCUACUCUCUCUCUCUGCCUCACACUCCUCAAACUAUGGCAGCCUAGCCACCUUCUGCCGCCCCUUCCACUUUGGCGACCUCCCACCUACGAUUCCAACUCCGGCUAUAUCCUAUAAUUCAGCAGUGGUGUGAAUCAGCUUGUGUGUUGGAGUUUGAGGCUAUAAACUACUCUUGUAAAAAGCCAACAAUGGUGUCCUCUGCAAGUUCAACUUCCUCUACUUCAAGCUCAAGCACGAGUUCACAAACUACGAUUUCUACUCGUGGAGUUAAUCCUUUGUUGCUGCUUCUGUCUAACAGGCAAGCAUGAUGACAGUGAAACUAGAUUACAACAACUAUUUGGUUUGGAGACAUCAAAUUGAGGUGAUUUUGGAAGCUUACUCAAUGAUCAACUUCAUUGAAGAUAAUCUUGAAGCUCCGAAUCCUUUUCUUAAGGAUAGCUCAGAGAAUUAUACCACUGAAGCUAAUCCUGAGUAUAUUCAACGGAGGAAUCGUGAGCAAGCAUUGUUCACAUUUAUCAAUUUUACUCUCUCUCCAUCAAUCUUGGCCCUCACAGUUGGUCAGAAAUCUGGUAGAGGAGUCUGGAAGAUUCUAAACAAACAUUUUGCUUCAGUUUCUCGAUCUCACAUUCUUAGCUUGAGAAAUGAGUUGAUGAGUCUUAAGAAAGGUUCAGAGAGUAUGAACACUUUCUUUCAAUGAAUCAAAGAAAUUCGUGAUAAACUUGGUGCUGUGGCAGUUUGUGUUGAUGAUGAGGAGCUUAUUCACUUAGCUCUUGAAGCUUUGCCUCCAGAAUAUGAUGCCUUUUGCUCAGCCAUAUGAACCAGAAAUGAUGUAGUUACUCUUGAAGAGUUGAACACUAUUAAGUGUUGAAGAAAGAUCAAUCAAGAAAAGGUCUAAUUUUCGAGAUUAUUUUUUAUUUACUAUGGCUGUUAAUCAAUUCAAUCAAUCCUUCAAUAGAGGAAGAGGAAGGAAUGGCAACAAUCGUGGUCGUGGUAAUGGAAGAGGUAACAACAAUGGCCAAUUCUCUGGUGGUCAAUCUACUUAAUUUCCUAAUGGCCAUUCUCAGUUUUUUGGCCAAUCCUACAAUGGUCAAGGUCAGUUUUCCCCUUCACAGUUUCAAUCCAAGUCUAAUUUUCAACAAGGCCAAAGACUUGUUUGUCAGAUAUAUGAUAAGAAUGGCUAUACUACUUUGGAUUGUUACCAUAGGAUGAAUUUUGCGUAUCAAGGGAGACACCCUCUAGCUAAGCUUGCAUCAAUGGCUGCAAGUUCAAUGGUUGCAAACUCUUGCUCUAAUCCAAACCAGAAUUGGUUCACUGACACUGGUGCUUUUGAUCACAUUACACUAGACUUGUCUCAGUUCUCUAUUCAUCAACAAUCUACAGCUGGUGAGACUGUUACAAUGGGCAAUGGACAAGAAUUGCCUGUCACUCAUAUUGGUAAUGGUAAUCUUCUCGCUCCAUUUCACAAUUUUAAUCUUAAUAACAUUCUUAGCGUACCCCAGAUUGGUUCAAAUUUACUUUCAGUACAUAAACUUUGUCUACAAAAUAAUACAUUUUGUUAUUUUGAUGCCUAUCAAUUCUCAAUUCAGGAUUUACCUACGGUGAAGGUCCUAUACAAAGGGUUGAGUAAAGAUGGUGUUUAUCCCAUUCCACCUAUUGCUUCUUUUUAAUCUUCACCUACAUCCUUUAUCAAUUCAAGUUGCUUUGUUGCUGUUUCUGCACAAGCUUUACUUUGGCAUCAAAGGCUUGGGCAUCCUUGUUCCAAGAUAUUGCAUUCUGCCUUAUCCUCUAUCAAUUCAAGUUGCCUUAUCUAAUGUACCCUCUGUUAUUAUUUUUGGUUCUAGUGAUAUUUGUUCACAAUGUGUUUCUUGUAUAAGUGCUAAAUGCACAAACUUUCUUUUCCAAAACAUGUAUCUAGUACUACUUUUACUCUGGAAUCAGUUCAUUCUGAUGUUUGGGGCCCUACUCCUAUUGUAUCUGUACUUGAACACAAGUUUUAUGUGAUAUUUGUUGAUGA
Quercus robur (English oak) is the source of this 2223-nucleotide RNA transcript. RefSeq lists it as uncharacterized. The transcript is spliced from 4 exons. NCBI's taxonomy places the organism in Eukaryota, Viridiplantae, Streptophyta, Magnoliopsida, Fagales, Fagaceae. The record is from RefSeq and is a predicted model, not a curated record.